Molecule: unclassified non-coding RNA, 960 nt
Filed under: Hevea brasiliensis (rubber tree)
Lineage: Eukaryota; Viridiplantae; Streptophyta; Magnoliopsida; Malpighiales; Euphorbiaceae
Source: RNAcentral
CAUUCUAGUCAUUAUAGGGUGGAUCCUUGUUGCAGUCACAUUUAUCUUAUGUGGUGCAUUUCUUGUUCUUCACAAUGCAACGGGAGACACAUGUGUGGCCAUGGAUGAUUGGGUAAAAAACCCAUCGGCUCAUACAGCCCUUGAUAAGAUAAUCCCUUGUGUGGACACUGCUACUGCCCAAGAAACCUUGUCUCAGAGCAAAGAGGUCACCUACCAAUUGGUUGGAGUCACUAACACUAUCAUCACCAAUGUUUCAAACAUCAAUCUGCCUCCCGGUGUUUCUUACAACCAAUCUGGUCCACUGGUCCCUAAUCUCUGUAAUCCGUUUAAUUCAGAUAAGACAGACCGAAAAUGUGCAAGUGGUGAAGUGGAACUUAGCAAUGCCACACAGGUUUGGAAGAAUUACGUUUGUGAGGUUUCAGCGAGUAAUGUGUGCUCCACUGUGGGCCGUCUAACCCCUUCUAUGUACGACCAAAUGACUGCUGUAGUCAACGUUAGCAACGGCCUGUAUCAUUCUGGGCCAUUCCUUAAGGAACUACUCGACUGUACUUUCCUCCGAGAUACCUUCACUGUCAUUCAUGACGAACAUUGUCCUGAUUUGAGUCGAUACAGCAAGUGGAUCUACAUCGGUUUAGCUCUGGUCUCAGUAUCAGUAAUGCUCUCACUCGUUUGUUGGGUACUAUACGCAAGAGAGAGACGUCACCGUAAGUAUACCAAACUUGUUGAUGCUACAUCUGGUCAAGAAUCUUUAGCAGGGAAAAGCCAUGGUUGAGUUUUCAAAUAAUUUUGGACCUCGUAGUUAUCGACAAAACGUUCAUAUAUUUUCUUAGGUAUAUAUAGUAUGUUAUAUGGUUUCUAAUAUUAACGUUUGUUUAUUACAAUACAAGUCGAUUAGGGACUUGUAGGGAUUGUUAGAUGUUGUUCAUACACUAUUCAAUCUAGGAUUGUUGUGUAUACAGG